GCGGCCGCAAGGGACACAGCCCGGACCCCGCUCCCUCGGGGCGGCGAAGGGAGCCCGGCAUGCCCUCGGCCCAAAGCAGACAAGCCGAAGGAGAAGCGGCAGCGCACCGAGCAGCUGAGCGCCGAGGAGCGCGAGGCGGCCAAAGAGGCGAGGAAAGUGAGCCGGGGCAUCGACCGCAUGCUGCGCGAGCAGAAGCGCGACCUGCAGCAGACGCACCGGCUCCUGCUGCUCGGCACUUCGGGAGCAUCUAGAGAGCGUGAUUUGGAGUCUGCUGGCCAGGAGGCCACAGGAGAAACACAGGUCAGCCCCAGAGUCAUAGAGCACACAUUUGCCUCGACCCCAGCUGUAUUUUCUUUUCUGGGAAAAUAUCAGCCACUGGAAUUAGGCCAGACACAGAAAUCCGUAGAUACAAAGCUCGCCAGCAGAGCAAGACUCAGAACGCAAGAGUGGCCC
Molecule: small RNA, 453 nt
Filed under: Pongo abelii (Sumatran orangutan)
Lineage: Eukaryota; Metazoa; Chordata; Mammalia; Primates; Hominidae
Description: processed transcript
Source: RNAcentral